UUCAAAAGUGAAAGACGGUCUUGCUGUCACUUAUAGAUGGAUCCGCGCUGCAUUAGCUAGUUGGUAAGGUAACGGCUUACCAAGGCAACGAUGCAUAGCCGACCUGAGAGGGUGAUCGGCCACACUGGAACUGAGACACGGUCCAGACUCCUACGGGAGGCAGCAGUAGGGAAUCUUCCGCAAUGGGCGAAAGCCUGACGGAGCAACGCCGCGUGAGUGAUGAAGGUCUUCGGAUCGUAAAACUCUGUUAUUAGGGAAGAACAUAUGUGUAAGUAACUGUGCACAUCUUGACGGUACCUAAUCAGAAAGCCACGGCUAACUACGUGCCAGCAGCCGCGGUAAUACGUAGGUGGCAAGCGUUAUCCGGAAUUAUUGGGCGUAAAGCGCGCGUAGGCGGUUUUUUAAGUCUGAUGUGAAAGCCCACGGCUCAACCGUGGAGGGUCAUUGGAAACUGGAAAACUUGAGUGCAGAAGAGGAAAGUGGAAUUCCAUGUGUAGCGGUGAAAUGCGCAGAGAUAUGGAGGAACACCAGUGGCGAAGGCGACUUUCUGGUCUGUAACUGACGCUGAUGUGCGAAAGCGUGGGGAUCAAACAGGAUUAGAUA
This 603-nucleotide ribosomal RNA is filed under the name uncultured Staphylococcus sp. RNAcentral describes it as "bacterial SSU rRNA". It matches the Rfam family "Bacterial small subunit ribosomal RNA", at positions 193 to 784 of the family's 1533-position model. Lineage: Bacteria; Bacillati; Bacillota; Bacilli; Caryophanales; Staphylococcaceae. The record is from RNAcentral.